GCGCACGCUGGCGGCAGGCCUCACCCAUGCAAGUCGCACGAACCUUUCGGGGUUAGUGGCGGACGGGUGAGUCACACGUGGGAACGUGCCUUUAGGUUCGGAAUAACUCAGGGAAACUUGUGCUAAUACCGAAUGUGCCCUUCGGGGGAAAGAUUUAUCGCCUUUAGAGCGGCCCGCGUCUGAUUAGCUAGUUGGUUGAGGUAAUGGCUCACCAAGGCGACGAUCAGUAGCUGGUCUGAGAGGAUGAUCAGCCACAUUGGGACUGAGACACGGCCCAAACUCCUACGGGAGGCAGCAGUGGGGAAUCUUGCGCAAUGGGCGAAAGCCUGACGCAGCCAUGCCGCGUGAAUGAUGAAGGUCUUAGGAUUGUAAAAUUCUUUCACCGGGGACGAUAAUGACGGUACCCGGAGAAGAAGCCCCGGCUAACUUCGUG
This 433-nucleotide ribosomal RNA is filed under the name uncultured bacterium. Its description in RNAcentral is "partial 16S ribosomal RNA". It matches the Rfam family "Bacterial small subunit ribosomal RNA", at positions 29 to 507 of the family's 1533-position model. The record is from RNAcentral.